CCCUACGGGGGGCAGCAGUGAGGAAUAUUGGUCAAUGGACGAGAGUCUGAACCAGCCAAGUAGCGUGAAGGAUGCCUGCCCUCUGGGUUGUCCCCUUCUUUUCUCUGGGCCUACCAUGUUCCACGUGUGGGAUUUUGUAUGUACCAUAUGAAUAAGGAUCGGCUAACUCCGUGCCAGCAGUCGCGGUAAUACGGAGGAUCCGAGCGUUAUCCGGAUUUAUUGGGUUUAAAGGGAGCGUAGGUGGAUUGUUAAGUCAGUUGUGAAAGUUUGCGGCUCAACCGUAAGAUUGCAGUUGAAACUGGCAG
RNAcentral lists this ribosomal RNA (305 nucleotides) under uncultured bacterium. Its description in RNAcentral is "bacterial SSU rRNA". It matches the Rfam family "Bacterial small subunit ribosomal RNA", at positions 337 to 639 of the family's 1533-position model. The record is from RNAcentral.